Astatotilapia calliptera (eastern happy) is the source of this 1154-nucleotide long non-coding RNA. NCBI's taxonomy places the organism in Eukaryota, Metazoa, Chordata, Actinopteri, Cichliformes, Cichlidae. The record is from Ensembl.
CGCAGUAAAGAGGAGAGUUCAUCCUGGUGCAACAUGGCUCACCUAUGCACCAGUCCGACUUCUAAUAAGCCAUGACCAAAUCCCCUGUACACAUAUAGUGACUCAGAGGAUGAGCAGCCCACAAAAAAAAUGGUUUCCCCAGGCCCCUCGAGUGAAAAUACCAGACCUGACGAGAGCUGUUAACGAACUCCGUGAGGAGGUCAGAGCCAUCCGCAAUACCGGCUGCAAUGAAUCGGUAGAUGCUGGGGUACUGGCUCUGGAUUUGCCCUUGCACAACAUUGAGGAGCUAAACAAUGCAGAGCCAGCUCUUCAAUCACAAGAGGCAAAUAAGGCAAUGGUGAGACGCUUUGCCUUGAUUGGAGCCUGACGCAGCAGUUAGGGGCAAACUCUAUGUCCGAGUUAGUCUUUGCACAAGCAGUGCAGAAAUGGCUCCGAUACGCCCCAGAUCGUUUGGGUGGUGCAGGACGCACAUCAUGCAAAAAAUUACAAACUUCUGUGAAUCAUAUAAACGUAAAUCGGAAACUGUCUUUUAAUAAAGUAUUUAGCAAACGAAACAUGCCUAUUGACCUUUUUUUGUUUAUUUUUUUUCUCUGUUACAUCACAUGCAAUGCUUUCUUAUUUUAGGAUAUUAAUAUUGACAUGAUACAUUGUGAGACAUUUGGGUUUUUUUUUAUAAAGGGUGUCCAAUUUAAGGAAUAAGUACAAUUAUGUGUUUAGGUGGUUGAAGUAUUGAUGGAAACAUGCAGUAGUUUAGUAUUGGUUAAAAUACCUAUAAAGAAAGGUAGAUUUCCAGUCAUGAUUUAACUGUUUUAAUAAAAAGCAACUGUGCGAAAGAGGCGGAAAAUCAACACCAUAGCUCAACAGUGUUUCAAUAUCAGAAUCUGACAUUGUUUCAAUGUCAGCAGUAUUAGAAAAUAUAACGUUGAAUCAACGUCAGGUUUCAACAUUGAUUCAACAUCAAAACCUGACGUUUCAACAUUAAAAAAGGGUGCAAGAGUGACGUUAGGUCAACGUCACACUUCAACGUUGGUUCAAUGACACAGCCUGAUAUUGACUCAACAUUGUUUCAAUGUUUCCUUGCUAUCUGGGUAAAUACUUGUUUUAUCACUUAAAACAGAUAAUCAGUAUAAAAUAUUUGUGCAACAUAAUUUUUC